This 299-nucleotide ribosomal RNA is filed under the name uncultured bacterium. RNAcentral describes it as "partial 16S ribosomal RNA". It matches the Rfam family "Bacterial small subunit ribosomal RNA", at positions 334 to 650 of the family's 1533-position model. The record is from RNAcentral.
UCGGCCUACGGGGCGCAGCAGUGGGGGACAUUGCACAAUGUAGGGAACUCUGAUGCAGCGACGCCGCGUGAGGGAAGAAGGUUUUCGGAUUGUAAACCUCUGUCUUCGGUGACGAAACGAGACGGUAGCCGAGGAGGAAGCCACGGCUAACUACGUGCCAGCAGCCGCGGUAAUACGUAGGUGGCAAGCGUUGUCCGGAAUUACUGGGUGUAAAGGGAGCGUAUGCGGGAAAGCAAGUUGAAUGUUUAAGGUACGGGCUCAACCUGUACAAGCGUUCAAAACUGUUUUUCUUAAGUGGA